This 1542-nucleotide long non-coding RNA is filed under the name Vombatus ursinus (common wombat). Its description in RNAcentral is "lncRNA (ENSVURG00010023701.1)". The record is from RNAcentral. Lineage: Eukaryota; Metazoa; Chordata; Mammalia; Diprotodontia; Vombatidae.
CUUAAUGCCACCGGCUCACUCUUUGAGAACAGUGACCCUCCAUCCUCCCCAUUACCCCCUUGUCAUCCCACUCCUAACAUGUUUGAUGUUAUGCAAGUAUGUUCUACAGGGCAUCUGGUGUGGGGACCCGAGUUUAACACAACAUCGAAAACUGAGGUGUACUUCAUGGAUGGAUUCCCCGGACCUUACUUUCCUGCCCCCGUACCACACGUGCUGCAUAACGCCACCCUGCAGACGCAACUCCACCUGUGGAAGGCCGCCGCUGCUUUCGGAGAGGUCAUCCACAUGACGGACAAUUCCGCCCCUUUAGCGGAUAAUGCCACGAUCAACCGAGCGUGGUUUGACCGCCUCUUUAAAGAAGGAUACACAUGCACCGAACACCUUCACAAGGGACACUGCAACAACUUCACAAUUCAUACACAAACUGUCCGAAAUAUGGACAUGUUCCUCCUCUGUGAGAAUGCCACCAUAACUAACACCUCCCUUGGGCUUAACGUGACUUGCCCAAAUGGGGGGAAGCUCACCAACACACUCAUGUCCAUCAACAUAACUAAUGAGACCCGGGUGUUCGUGCUCACGACACCCCCUCUGACCUUCUUGCCGGUAGGAACGGACAAGCCUUUUGCCGACUCGGAUUUCUUUCGGGCUGUCCUGAACCGGGGUAAGAGGGGCUUUGAAGUGACUGCUGUGGACUUCAUUGGGCUAGUGGCCAGUCUGAUAGAACAAGUGGAGAUUAGCACCCUCUACAAGCGAGUAGGUCUAGUCGAAGAUAAUCUUAGGGAUUUUAUGCAGCUCACAACCAAGGCCUGGAUUGCCCAACAAGACAUUAAUAAAUUGGUGACCAUAGAAUUGUCGGCCCUUACAUCGGCCGUGCAAGCCUUAGCCACCCUCAUACAGGUUAACUCCGUGCUAGAGGGCCUCCCUUGCCAUCGUGUACUACCCAGGCCAAUGUGCAUGACGGCCGCCGUGCACAACGCAUCCAGGGAGCUGGAUGAGGCAAUCCGGACCUUGAAUGAGCAUAGCAAUAUGUCUGACUAUCUCAGACGCCUAGAAGAUAUAGUACUACAGAUAAAGAAUGAGACAGACCAAUAUAAGCAGCAGAUACAAAAGGACCAUGGCAUUCUCCCCGAGUGGUUUAACCAGCUUGAAUUGUCUAAUUGGCUUAAUUAUGUACUGAGUAUGGGAAGCAUGGUUUUCUUUCUCUUGGUCAUGUGUAUAUGCCUCCCCUGCUUGCUAUCUUACGUGGUACGGCUUUGGCGUAUGGUCUUAGAGCAAGUAAAAGCGGAUAUAUUCCUGCGUAAACAAAAAGGGGGAGUUGUUAGGGGCGGUCGGCCCUAGACGCCUGAGCGGAUAGGAACCUCCCUGGGAGUGAGAGCCCCCAAUCCCAGAAAGACACGGCUCCCUACACGGGGUACGUGUAAGGAUGGGAUUGGGCGAGACUCUUUGCUCCAUACAGGUGGCAGGUUUCGCCCUCGGGGCGGAUUGGGGUGGCCACCCGGAAGACAGACCCUAUAUAGACCAACGCCCCAGCUUGCUCGGGGG